CCUACGGGGGGCAGCAGUGGGGAAUAUUGGACAAUGGGCGAAAGCCUGAUCCAGCCAUGCCGCGUGUGUGAAGAAGGCCUUCGGGUUGUAAAGCACUUUCAGUGGGGAAGAAAGCCUUGGGGCUAAUACCCUCGAGGAAGGACAUCACCCACAGAAGAAGCACCGGCUAACUCCGUGCCAGCAGCCGCGGUAAUACGGAGGGUGCGAGCGUUAAUCGGAAUUACUGGGCGUAAAGCGCGCGUAGGCGGUCUGAUAAGCCGGUUGUGAAAGCCCCGGGCUCAACCUGGGAACGGCAUCCGGAACUGUCAGGCUAGAGUGCAGGAGAGGAAGGUAGAAUUCCCGGUGUAGCGGUGAAAUGCGUAGAGAUCGGGAGGAAUACCAGUGGAGAAGGCGGCCUUCUGGACUGACACUGACGCUGAGGUGCGAAAGCGUGGGUAGCAAACAGGAUUAGAUACCCUAGUAGUC
Molecule: ribosomal RNA, 465 nt
Filed under: Vreelandella stevensii
Lineage: Bacteria; Pseudomonadati; Pseudomonadota; Gammaproteobacteria; Oceanospirillales; Halomonadaceae
Description: partial 16S ribosomal RNA
Rfam family: Bacterial small subunit ribosomal RNA
Source: RNAcentral